UGGGCAGUGGCGGCAACGACAAAGAAAA
RNAcentral lists this non-coding RNA (28 nucleotides) under Homo sapiens (human). The record is from RNAcentral. Lineage: Eukaryota; Metazoa; Chordata; Mammalia; Primates; Hominidae.